This 854-nucleotide ribosomal RNA is filed under the name uncultured archaeon. RNAcentral's name for it is "partial 16S ribosomal RNA". The record is from RNAcentral.
CCGCACGCUCCACCCGUUGUGGUGCUCCCCCGCCAAUUCCUUUAAGUUUCAGCCUUGCGGCCGUACUUCCCAGGUGGCUCGCUUCACGGCUUCCCUACGGCACCGACGACGGUCGCACCGUGGCCGACACCUAGCGAGUAUCGUUUACGGCUAGGACUACCCGGGUAUCUAAUCCGGUUCGUGCCCCUAGCUUUCGUCCCUUGCCGUCAGGUCCGUUCUGGUGAGACGCCUUCGCCACUGGUGGUCCUUCAAGGAUUACAAGAUUUCACCCCUACCCCUGAAGUACCUCUCACCUCUCCCGGCCUCGAGCCGAACAGUAUCUCCUGAAAGCCCAACAGUUGAGCUGCUGGAUUUCUCAAGAGACUUAUCCGGCCGGCUACAGACCCUUUAGACCCAAUAAUAACGGUUACCACUCGAGCCGCCGGUGUUACCGCGGCGGCUGGCACCGGUCUUGCCCGGCCCUUGCUAUGCAAUGCUUUUUAGGCAUCACGACAGCCAGAUUUGUAACCUGGCACUCGAGGUCCCCUUAUCGCCGUUGCCGGCAUUGUAAAGUUUUCGCGCCUGCUGCACCCCGUAGGGCCUGGAUUCGUGUCUCAGAAUCCAUCUCCGGGCUCUUGCUCUCACAACCCGUACCCGUCGUAGGCUAGUAGGUACGCUACACCCACUACUACCUGAUAGGCCGCAGACCCAUCCUCUGGCGCCGGAGCUUUCGAUCUCGGGGCAUUCCAGCGACCGAGAUCUAUCGGGGAUUAUACCCAGUUUCCCGGGUUUAUACCCGUCCGGAGGGUAGGUUGUCCACGUGUUACUGAGCAGUACGCCAUGUAUUGCUACAUUCGACUCGCAUGGCUUAGUCG